This 587-nucleotide ribosomal RNA is filed under the name uncultured bacterium. RNAcentral's name for it is "partial 16S ribosomal RNA". It matches the Rfam family "Bacterial small subunit ribosomal RNA", at positions 354 to 1375 of the family's 1533-position model. The record is from RNAcentral.
UGGGGGAAUUUUGGACAAUGGGCGAAAGCCUGAUCCAGCAAUGCCGCGUGUGUGAAGAAGGCCUUCGGGUUGUAAAGCACUUUUGUCCGGAAAGAAAUCCUUGGCUCUAAUACAGUCGGGGGAUGACGGUACCGGAAGAAUAAGCACCGGCUAACUACGUGCCAGCAGCCGCGGUAAUACGUAGGGUGCAAGCGUUAAUCGGAAUUACUGGGCGUAAAGCGUGCGCAGGCGGUUUGCUAAGACCGAUGUGAAAUCCCCGGGCUCAACCUGGGAACUGCAUUGGUGACUGGCAGGCUAGAGUAUGGCAGAGGGGGGUAGAAUUCCACGUGUAGCAGUGAAAUGCGUAGAGAUGUGGAGGAAUACCGAUGGCGAAGGCAGCCCCCCUGGGCCAAUACUGACGCUCAUGCACGAAAGCGUGGGGAGCAAACAGGAUUAGAUACCCUGGUAGUCCACGCCCUAAACGAUGUCAACUAGUUGUUGGGGAUUCAUUUCCUUAGUAACGUAGCUAACGCGUGAAGUUGACCGCCUGGGGAGUACGGUCGCAAGAUUAAAACUCAAAUGAAUUGACGGGGUCAUAGCUGUUUCCU